Molecule: ribosomal RNA, 288 nt
Filed under: uncultured bacterium
Lineage: Bacteria
Description: partial 16S ribosomal RNA
Rfam family: Bacterial small subunit ribosomal RNA
Source: RNAcentral
GUGGAUUAGAUACCCUGGUAGUCCACGCCGUAAACGGUGGGCGCUAGGUGUGGGUUUCCUUCCACGGGAUCCGUGCCGUAGCUAACGCAUUAAGCGCCCCGCCUGGGGAGUACGGCCGCAAGGCUAAAACUCAAAGGAAUUGACGGGGGCCCGCACAAGCGGCGGAGCAUGUGGAUUAAUUCGAUGCAACGCGAAGAACCUUACCUGGGUUUGACAUAUACCGGACGACUGCAGAGAUGUGGUUUCCCUUGUGGUCGGUAUACAGGUGGUGCAUGGCCGUCGUCAACU